Streptomyces griseoruber is the source of this 117-nucleotide non-coding RNA. The record is from Rfam. Lineage: Bacteria; Bacillati; Actinomycetota; Actinomycetes; Kitasatosporales; Streptomycetaceae.
GCGAGACGGGUGGGCCGGUGGCCGGGCUCGACCGAUAAACUGUUCCCGGACGACGCCGGGCGCAGCUCCCGUCGCGUCCGCCAAUGAUCAGCCAGCAGCCGCUGCAACCCCAGGGAG